AUUAAGUUUUUUUUUUUUAAUUUAUGCCUUUUUAACUGUGGUAAGUUAAAAAAUGUUUACCACAGAAAAAUGUCACGUACAAAUAAGCAACCACAAACAUGAAACAAUCGAAUAGUGGGGUAUGUGGAAUAUGUUCAUUCACAGCCAUAUUUAUGUUUUUGCCAUCGUAGCGGAUGUUUUUGCAAGACAAUUUGUUUGAGUUUAUUUCAUGGUACAAUCCUUUUCGAUGAUUUAUUUAGUUAUUUUAAUCUGGAAGAAGUGUUUGCAAAUUUUCCUUGGGAUGAUAAAUAACGGAUCGACUGGGAUUUUAUUCCAAUAAAAGUACCUACGAAAUAACUAAAUAAAAUAUUGCUGCGUAAUUGGUUAGGUGCUGUUCCAAUUUUAUGAUUUUAGAGAUGAAAAAGCGAUACGCGAUGCUUUGAAGUUGGUCGUGAAUUCGAGACAAAAUUUUAAAUUCAAUGACAUCCUCGUGGAAGGAGCACGUCGCAUUGCUAGAAUCAGCAAAGAAGCUGGUAUACAACGUUUGAUUAUUUGUCUGCCUUAAACGCUAGUCCCAAACCAAUGACUUUGUGCUUGAAGGUGGAAGUAAGUUUUUGAAGAGCAAAUUCCACGGUGAAUGUGCUGUUCGGAUGUUGCACAAGCUAUUGUCAAUUGCGCUAGGAAUCCCUAUCAAGCUGUUGGAUAGGUUUUGAGCAAAAUUGAAUUUACAUACUUUCUAAUAUGCUAAAAACUGAAGACCCACCCCCAUUGAAUGAUUACAUUGUGUUAUGGGUAAAGAUGAAAAAURGUGGGGAUACCGUCGUUAAGGCAUGCGUUGCGAUCCUACUUUCCUAUUGAAAGUCAAGUUUACUGAGCUUAUCUGUCCUGGACAAUUUUUUGCUGAGCUACAUAUGGAACGUAUCGAUCGCGAAUGUAUUACCGAUGUCAUCUGGGUGUACAAUUGACCUCCAUGGAAGAGCAAGUACCAUGGGAAUUGCGACCAUAUCGUGCUGCGCAAUAUUAUGAUACCGAAUUGGGAGAGUUGGAAGAAUCAGCUCCAUCAAAACCGUUAGAACAUCAGGAAGAACUACGUAUGUUUGCAUAAAACUACUAUAAUGRCAACAACGCUAACAACAACAGCCCAGCAAAUAAUAAACAACACUCAUCAAAUAAAAGUUGGUGGCGUUGAUGGCCAAGCAGCGAUUUGAAAAGAAACAUUUGGAUCUAUGCGAAUUACAAUUCGUCUUUACAUCUAGUGAAUUAUGGUCGAUUAUGAUUAGUGUGGAAGUUGAUAUUUAAACUUUAAAAAACAAAUAAACGUAAUUUGGCUAAUAAUGAACUCAUAUUAAAAAUUAAA
Long non-coding RNA from Bactrocera latifrons, 1336 nucleotides. RefSeq lists it as uncharacterized. Lineage: Eukaryota; Metazoa; Arthropoda; Insecta; Diptera; Tephritidae. The transcript is spliced from 2 exons. The record is from RefSeq and is a predicted model, not a curated record.